GCUCCGCGACCCGUACGCAAAUCGCCCGCGACGGGCUUUGGUGCGUUGGCCACUAUGACGGGAGAAGCCGACGCUGGUUGAAUUCUGGAGGUCUUUCUGUCUGUCCGUGCUUCGGAGGCGGGCAAUACCUGACCCUGUUGUUUCUCCCAACAGUAAUAAAUGUGGCAGUGGACGAGACCUCAGGGCUCUUUUGGAGACGUCUUUUUGGAAAUAACUUCUCUAGACUCACUCCCAAGGGAAACGCACAUGGGCCCCCAGCGCCCUCUGAAGUCUAUUCUAGAGACUUCCGAGGGUCCGGGACUCCAAGUUUAGAACCCCCAGCCCUAGACGUUGUCUGGCACUUUGCGGUAUUGGAUGGCGUGCUUUGUCCAGAUCGAGCCUGAUCCCGCACAUACGAGUGUGACCUGCAGAGACCCCCACAAUCUUGGUUGACUAACAAGGACUUUGACUGAAAUUAAAAACUUUGUCUUCUUUACCUGUAAGGUGUAUUGCUGUAGGAACAGUAAGGAACAGAGAAUUUUUAUUGUCCCCGUUUUACAGGUCUGCCAAUGAUGCCAACUAACUCUCAUGGACAUUCGAAAAUCCCACUGGCAACUCUUGGGGCUGAAGACUAUACUGAUCCUUGAAUGAUUACUCAAACUGGGAAGCAAUAUACAUGGCUCAUUUUCCCUCUUUCAUGGAACCUAAUACCCUUGGAAAAGAGAUUUCAAGGCCAGAAUGAGGGAUCACGGAGGCAGAGCCCACCAUCCUGUACCAUUACUGGUGUGUCUUCAUUUGGAACGGGACUCCCAGGGAAGGCUGUACCGAACUACAAAGCAGAUGCUGGAAUGGAUUUGAGGAUCUUGCCAGAGAUGAGUGGUGCUAGCUCAAAUACACGUCAGGCUAGAGUUUGGAUUACUCUAGUUUUAUCUAGCACUUAAGCUAAUUUAGAAAUGGGUACUUAAACUAACAUUCCCUUAGUUUACAUCUAUUAGCAUCCAGCUCUCACAUCCUUAGAUUGGUCUUUUAGAGCUUUAACUAGUGACCUGCAUUGCUUCAUUCCCUUUCCAUGAGAGCAGGUUUAUUGUCUACUAAUAAUUUUGAGUGACAGGUAAGGCUUUGGAAGAGGAUGAGAACUUAUUCCUGAUAGCCUAUUGCUUAAAAUGAGCCAUGUUUAAUACAUAAGUGUUACUACCCUGAUAUACAUUUAACACCGAAAGGGAUCAUAGCACAGUUCAUUUACCAAAACCAAGUUUUCCUGCUAGUUGACCACGUGGUCCUGAAAAAAAAUGUGAACAAUUCCUUACUGCCGUGUGAAACCAUUUCUUGCUUAAGAAUUAAGCUGCCUUUUAAAAUCUUCACAGCAGUAGUUGUCAGCUUGUAGUGGUUUUGCCAAGGGGAUAUUUUGCAAUGUCUAGAAAGAUUGUCACUUCUCAAGGAUGCUCCUGGCAUCUAGUGGGUAGAGGUCGGGGAUUGCUUCUAAACAUCCUGCAAUGCACACACAGCUUCACACACACAGAAUUUUCCCACCCAAAGCAUCAAUAGUGCUGUAGCAGCCUAACCCUGCCUGGCCAUUUCCUGCUCACACAAGCUCGUUUGUGACUGCCCUCCCCACCUCAAAGACUCUCCAGCUAAUAUCAGUUUUUUCAUAGCUUGCGAACCAAUUAAUGUUCUUCUCUAUAUCUGUAGCUGUGUAGGGAUAACAAGACUGUAUAAAACUGCCUGUUAUGUUACAAUCGGGGCUUAGCCUUUGGAUAAGAAUCCACUGAGCUGGUGCCGGCAUCAAUAAACACUACUUCCUGCUUAUAGCCUCGGAGUUCCGUCUCUCCAUUGGAGAAUCCUGCAACAUUUUGGGGGAUCUGGAGAUGGCAGUUUUUCACCUCCCUUGUCUUCAGGGUCUGGCCCCCAGGACACAGGGAGACACAGACUCCGCUUGGCCCCUUGCCUGUAAAAGGAGAAACAUCUCUUCCAGUGACCUUGGGUGGCCGCCCCUGAAGCACAAUGGAACCUGGAGAGGUGCAGGAAUCAGCCCAGGAGCACCACUUGACUGAAUGUUAAGGACCCAGGUCCCAGAAACAGCCUGUUCGCUGGAGGACAGAAAGGGAGUCUGAUCAAUUCCCGAGGUCACCCAAGUACUCUACAUGUGUUAGAGGAAACCAGGACC
Long non-coding RNA from Pteropus alecto (black flying fox), 2143 nucleotides. RefSeq lists it as uncharacterized. Lineage: Eukaryota; Metazoa; Chordata; Mammalia; Chiroptera; Pteropodidae. The record is from RefSeq and is a predicted model, not a curated record. The transcript is spliced from 4 exons.